AUGCCAGCCUGGAACUCUUUGCUGCAGCCAACCAGACUCUCCACAUGGCCACUGGAUGCCAAUUUCACUGUACUGCAGCUGGACCUCAGUUACUUCUGCAGGAUGAAGAUGCUCCCUGCUGGACACUGCCUGUUGUUUGUUGCUGCCCCUGCUUCUGAACUCUUAUGGUGCGACCACCAUUGUGCAGCACUCAAACUUCUUAACUCCAGAUGUACUCCAACAAUGCCCACCAAGACCCCAAUGUCAUUGUACUUUACAUCACACCUGCUUUCCAACCCCUAUACUGAGGCUGGACCCCUGAUGCAGCUCCAUUUUGCUCCUGUGCCUGCUAGACUCUGGAGCUCCACCCUGCUACCACCAGACUUUAACAUGGAUACUAGACAGUGACACUCAGUACUGGGGCCAACUUCAUUGCAACUGUCAGAGUUUGGUCCAUUAUGUUUUUGCCAAGAAGACCCUCUCCAUUAAGUAAAAGUGCCAGGCAAAAAAACAAGUGCUGAUGUAGAAGCUCAUGCAAGUUAUCUAGAAGGUCUUGCUAAGCUAUUCAUAGAAGAUGUGUUGUGCUUGGAGGUAUUGGUGUCUGAAGUUCAGUUAUGGCAGUGGUGGCAAAGGCAACUGAGGAGUCUGUAGGUGGCAACGUCAAGCCAGGCAUCCAGAGAGUUGCAUUCUCAUCCUCUGGCAGUGGCAGGAGUCUGGGCCCAGUGCAGUGAUGGUGGCUGCGACAUCACUGGUGGCCCUGUGGGGACUCCAGUGGCUUUAGUGUGGAGCUCUGUUAGCGGUGAUGGUGACAGUUGGGACAGCAGGCCUCAGAGUCAGAGGGUGACUGGAGGCUGUGAUGGCCUCUGCAGUGGCUCCUCCAGGAAACUGGUAUUUCUCCUUGUAGGGCCUGCCUGCCCACAAAGCAGGGCGCAGGAGCCGGUUGUACCCAGUCACCUUCUGAGGACCUUAUGCUGCCCAUUGCAGCAAUGCCUGGCAUUGCCCUUGAGUCCACCAGGCUGCUUACCGAAUCUUUGAGUUCACGCUGCCGCUCCCUGAGUUGCAGCCUCUGAGGGAUGAGUAGGCCUGCUGCCAGCUGGCGCAGCCUUUGGAGAAGGCAUCCACCCUCCCCAUCUUUAUCUCCCCUGCACUGUGGUAGCAGAGUGCAGAGAUGGGAGGUGGGGGGGCCUAGAAAAUCCUCACCCUCCAAGUGCAUCCCUGGGGUGGGACAAGGGUGGAGUGCACAGGUGGCACUGGGAGUCUGAGAGCAACGAGUUCUCUGUCUUGGUCUUCUGCCACCCCCAGCCAGAGAAAUGCACUUUGCUGGUGAAGAUGUCCUAGGACCUCUGCUUUCUGCACCCACAGUCCACACAGGAAGUGGCUGGGUAUGGUGAGGUUCUCUUCCAAGACUGCCUCAACCUAGCAGACAACCUAGUUCCUCAGUAGAGAGGCUAUAUCAGGCGAUGGGGUGAGCAGCCACACAGUGGUCUCAUGGACAGAGGGAAACAUGGCAGCUGUGGGAAGCAUAAGGUCCUGGACAUCUGCCUGGGUACCACCGCCUCCUCCAUUCUUCUUCCUGAGCAGGCCAGUCAACCAGGCACAAGACCAGGUCCUGGAGCCUCCACCACAGAGGACAUCCCAUCUACUGGUUACCUUAUCACUCUGUCACCCCCUAUCCCAUUCCCUUGCUGUCACAGCAGCCUGGAGUUUCUUCAAAGCAGCCAACCAGACACCCCACAUUGCCACUGGAUGCCAAGAAAAUUUACAACAAUUGGAAGAAUAAGGAGCCAGAUGGGCUGACCCUAGUCAGAGCUGAACUGGAGAUGCUGACUUAGAACCUGAUGAAAAAGUUGGCCUAUCUAAAGUAGAAUCCAUCAUGAGGAGGCCAAAAUUUGAUUUUUUUUCCUUCCAGACCUCAAAAUUAAAACAUCAUGUUUGCAAAUCUGGAGUUAAAACACGACCUGUUUAAGUAGCCAUUUGUUUUGGAUGUGCCUGUGCAUGUACAUUGCUGCUACUGCUGUUUAUAAUGGUUCUUACUAAGGUUUAAUUAAUCAGAGACACAUUCUGAUUUUGUCAUUUUCAUUAUAGAUAAUAAAUUAGAAAGAAUCUAUU
Long non-coding RNA from Ictidomys tridecemlineatus (thirteen-lined ground squirrel), 2088 nucleotides. The record is from Ensembl. Lineage: Eukaryota; Metazoa; Chordata; Mammalia; Rodentia; Sciuridae.